GACGAACGCUGGCGGCGUGCUUAACACAUGCAAGUCGAACGGAAAGGCCCUGCUUUUGUGGGGUGCUCGAGUGGCGAACGGGUGAGUAACACGUGAGUAACCUGCCCUUGACUUUGGGAUAACUUCAUGAAACUGGGGCUAAUACCGGCUAGGAGCUCCUGCUGCAUGGUGGGGGUUGGAAAGUUUCGGCGGUUGGGGAUGGACUCGCGGCUUAUCAGCUUGUUGGUGGGGUAGUGGCUUACCAAGGCUUUGACGGGUAGCCGGCCUGAGAGGGUGACCGGCCACAUUGGGACUGAGAUACGGCCCAGACUACUACGGGAGGCAGCAGUGGGGAAUAUUGCACAAUGGGCGGAAGCCUGAUGCAGCAACGCCGCGUGCGGGAUGACGGCCUUCGGGUUGUAAACCGCUUUCGCCUGUGACGAAGCGUGAGUGACGGUAAUGGGUAAAGAAGCACCGGCUAACUACGUG
This 468-nucleotide ribosomal RNA is filed under the name uncultured bacterium. RNAcentral describes it as "partial 16S ribosomal RNA". It matches the Rfam family "Bacterial small subunit ribosomal RNA", at positions 28 to 507 of the family's 1533-position model. The record is from RNAcentral.